AUGAAACAGUCGCGAGGCUGUCAAACCAGUCCGCUCUGCAAAAGUAGUACCGCAUAUAUACUUGGUGCUUUGUUCACACCGUUAUGUCUUUUUCUAGCUCCUACCAAGUGCUUUAAAUUUAAAUAUACUCACAUUAUUUUCUCUACUGGAUUGUUUUAUAACCUUCAUAUUUAACUAGGUAUGCAGGAACCCAUACUUCUGCAUCGCUCGACUAAGAUAACCAAAGUUCCUCCCCGAGACGGCUACAAUUGGUGCGAUCAUUGUUACUGCUAAGAAACAUUGAUAUGGGUUUAAAUCCUGAAAUUUGUGAUCCAAUAGUACUGGAAUUGAGAAGUAGUGCCGCAGUAGUCUAGGUCAGCACCGGCGACAACCUAUGAGAACCUACGACCUCCUGGAGACCCACUACCACUGCACCUAUGGCACGAGAUUCUCGCUACUCUCCACCCGCUACCCAUCAAUGAAGCCGUGACUAGAUCCAAGAAUGCGGGAACGACUCACGACCAUGAAGGCUACUGCCAUUUUGAACUAUAAAAACGUCGCAGCCACGCAUCUAUUUGCCGGCUGCGCCUGCGCAGUUGGGGGAGGGUUGCCGCGACUCACGUCACAACGGGGAUCUCUGGCGUCACAACGGGAACCCAUCAGCCAUGCCUGCAGUUUGGGGCUAUGGGUCAGUGGUGGAAUAUUGCCUUGGGGGACAGGCCCAAUGGGUCUGCACCUGGUCUAGUUCUUAUUAAAAAGCACAUGUUCUUUUUAACAACC
Molecule: long non-coding RNA, 759 nt
Organism: Leucoraja erinaceus (little skate)
Lineage: Eukaryota; Metazoa; Chordata; Chondrichthyes; Rajiformes; Rajidae
Exons: 4
Source: RefSeq, a predicted model, not a curated record